GGUUUGAUUUGGCCAACUGUAACUUAAAUGAUGAGCAUGUCAACAAAAUGAACUCAGAGAGAGAGAGUUCCAGAUGUGGUAUUAAUCAAGAAAAGCUAUGACCGUACCAAACGUCAGCGUCGUAGAAACUGGAAACUGAAAGAACUUGCAAGAGAUAGAGAAAACAUGGAUACAGAUGAUGAAAGGCAAUACCAAGAUUUCCUUGAAGAUCUUGAAGAAGAUGAGGCAAUUAGAAAAAAUGUCAACAUCUAUAGAGAUUCAACUAUACCUGUGGAGAGUGACACAGAUGAUGAAGGAGCACCUCGAAUUAGUUUGGCUGAGAUGCUUGAAGAUCUUCAUAUUUCCCAAGAUGCCACUGGUGAAGAAGGUGCAUCAAUGAUGACAUAAUGAGAUUAUAUUAUAGACUGUACAUCUGUGGGCUCAGGAAGUUGGAACAAAAUGACCUUUUCUAUGUAUUGCUUCUGUGCUUCCAUAUGGAGAAAUUUAGUUUUAGAUCUGAAUAAAUAUAACUAUUUUGAUUGUUUACUCUAAGCACUAAAAAGGAUUGAUAAUUUUGAAGUUCUAGAUAAUAAAAGAUUCAGAAGGA
Molecule: non-coding RNA, 586 nt
Organism: Marmota flaviventris (yellow-bellied marmot)
Lineage: Eukaryota; Metazoa; Chordata; Mammalia; Rodentia; Sciuridae
Source: RefSeq, a predicted model, not a curated record